GAUGAACGCUAGCGGCAGGCUUAAUACAUGCAAGUCGAACGGGAUUCGGUGUAGCAAUACAUUGAUGAGAGUGGCGCACGGGUGCGUAACGCGUAUGCAACCUACCUUUAACAGGUGAAUAGCCCCGAGAAAUCGGGAUUAAUACACCGUAACAUUGCGGGAUGGCAUCAUUCUGCAAUUAAAGAUUUAUCGGUUAAAGAUGGGCAUGCGUGACAUUAGCUAGUUGGUGAGGUAACGGCUCACCAAGGCGACGAUGUCUAGGGGUCCUGAGAGGGUUAUCCCCCACACUGGUACUGAGACACGGACCAGACUCCUACGGGAGGCAGCAGUAAGGAAUAUUGGUCAAUGGGCGCAAGCCUGAACCAGCCAUGCCGCGUGCAGGAAGACGGCCCUAUGGGUUGUAAACUGCUUUUGUCAGGGAAUAAACCUGUCUACGAGUAGGCAGCUGAAGGUACCUGAAGAAUAAGCAUCGGCUAACUCCGUGCC
Molecule: ribosomal RNA, 486 nt
Filed under: uncultured bacterium
Lineage: Bacteria
Description: bacterial SSU rRNA
Rfam family: Bacterial small subunit ribosomal RNA
Source: RNAcentral